Molecule: ribosomal RNA, 1305 nt
Filed under: Triticum aestivum (bread wheat)
Lineage: Eukaryota; Viridiplantae; Streptophyta; Magnoliopsida; Poales; Poaceae
Description: partial small subunit ribosomal RNA
Source: RNAcentral
AUGUCUCAUGUCUCAAUACAUCGUACCCUGGAGACGAACUACAACAACAUUGCUUUGCUCAGCAAGAUGCUCGACGACUUCAGCAAGCUGCUGGGCGUUCAGAAACAAGUCUCCACGUCAUCGAGACAGCUGAGACGGCAACGCGAUGGUUUAACAAUGGGUUACCACUCGGAACAAACAGUUGGCACCAUGAGGGAGAAAAUGCCUGUAAUUCUAGACGUCACGAGGACGCUGUUGCGAGACCUGCAACUUCCUCUGACCGAAGAGUUUUCCGAGAUCAAGGAGUUUUGCAUCAAAAGUGCGUCCCUCAUUUUCUGCACCGUGUCUGGCUCGGCUAAGCUGGAGGGGGAGAAGAUGGAUCUGCUUCUGAUCGACGAGGCUGCACAGCUCAAGGAAUGUGAAUCCCUCGUCCCAUUGCAAGUCUCCGGACUGAAACAUGUGGUUCUUAUCGGUGACGAGCGCCAACUGCCAGCUAUGGUCCAAAGCAAGGUUUCAGAUAAGGCGUUGCUGGGUAGGAGUCUGUUUGAGAGAAUGGGUUUACUUGGACACAAGAAGCACCUCCUCAACAUGCAGUACAGGAUGCACCCUUCCAUAAGCAUCUUUCCCAACUUGAGUUUCUACGACAAGCAAAUCUUGAAUGGCCCCAAUGUGACGCAGACCAAGCAUGAACGUAGUUACCUUUCAGGUGCAAUGUUCGGGCCAUACUCGUUCAUCAACAUCGACGGUGUGGAAGACCGCGGCCGCAGCAAGACGAACAUGACCGAGGUGGCUGCCAUCCUGCAAAUACUGCACAGUCUCAAGAAAUUUUGUAUCAGCGCCGGGCAGGUGGUUAGCGUGGGUGUCAUAUCCCCGUACACCGCUCAGGUGGUCGCAAUUCAGGGAAAGAUAGGGGACGUGAAGGCGAUGCGCCCCCUGGUUCUUCGCGUCAACUCUGUGGAUGGGUUCCAGGGCAGUGAAGAAGACGUGAUCAUCCUAUCCACCGUCAGGUCCAACGGCACGUGCUCCGUUGGCUUCCUGUCGAACCGGCGACGCGCCAAUGUUGCCUUGACGAGGGCGAGGCACUGCCUCUGGAUCGUGGGCAACGCGGCAACGCUAAGCGGCAGCGGCUCCAUCUGGGGGGAGCUGAUCCGGGAUGCCGCGGAACGUCGGUGCUUCUUCGACUGGGACGAAGGCGAGGGCGUGUCUCCGGCAGUUUCUCGCCACGCUUGCGUAAUCGGGCCAGGACAUGGUGAAGCCGCUUCAGAUUUAGGCAUGCACCUGGCCGGGGAUAUUUGUGACACGCUCGGUUCUCUGCGGCUCGCUUAA